This 460-nucleotide ribosomal RNA is filed under the name uncultured bacterium. Its description in RNAcentral is "partial 16S ribosomal RNA". It matches the Rfam family "Bacterial small subunit ribosomal RNA", at positions 338 to 795 of the family's 1533-position model. The record is from RNAcentral.
CCUACGGGGUGCAGCAGUGAGGAAUAUUGGUCAAUGGACGAGAGUCUGAACCAGCCAAGUAGCGUGAAGGAUGACUGCCCUAUGGGUUGUAAACUUCUUUUAUAUGGGAAUAAAAUGUUCCACGUGUGGGAUUUUGUAUGUACCAUAGGAAUAAGGAUCGGCUAACUACUUGCCAGCAGACGCGGUAAUACGGAGGAUCCGAGCGUUAUCCGGAUUUCUUGGGUUUAAAGGGAGCGUCGGUGGAUUGUUAAGUCAGUUGGGAAAGUUUGCGGCUCAACCGUAAAAUUGCAGUUGAAACUGGCAGUCUUGAGUACAGUAGAGGUGGGCGGAAUUCGUGGUGUAGCGGUGAAAUGCUUAGAUAUCACGAAGAACUCCGAUUGCGAAGGCAGUUCACUGGACUGCAACUGACACUGCGUCUCGAAAGUGUGGGUAUCAAACAGGAUUAGAUACCCUUGUAGUC